AUAAAGAUAAAUCAGGCAAGCAAAGAGAGAGAAAUGACAUAGUCAAUAUAACAAAGGUAUUUUCUAAAUAAGAGGACCUAAACUACCCCAAAUAAUUAAAAUAUUCAAAGUGGGUAAAAGAACCGACAAAUUCAACAGGUUGGACAAAAAUUUAUUAUUUUUAUUCAAAUCAACACGCAUCUUAUUAACGGGAGUCACAUUAUCGAAUCAUGCUCUGGUCAACUUUCAUUAUUUUUUAAAGUCUAUCCACCUUCCUCCUCCCCCUUACCUAAUUUGUUUAUUAAGCUUAGAGACAAUCUAAAUGAAAUGAUAAAACUAGUUUUCCCUAAAAUCCCUAAAUGUCCAAGAGGCAUUGAACUUUUUACUUUGAAUUUGGGAUCUAGACAAAGAAAAUUAGGCUUUCGAGUUAGACUCAAGGUUCUAGUUAAACACAUUGGACAACACGUAGCACAAAAUCGUCUCAAAUAAAGUCUCUUGAUUAGUUAAGAGUAGAUUAGGUGAUUAAAAUUAUGACAAGCAAUUAUUUAUUUUGUAAUGAAACCCAUAGUCAUGAUAUCUAAAAUUAUCAAACAACCAAUUAAUGUCAGAAAUUAAUUAGUUAAAUCCUAUAUGCAUGAUACAAAGUGAUAAAUAUUUGCUUAUCAUUUUCGAAAAAUAAUUAUUAAAUCAUUUCAAAAUAAUGUGUGAAAUUUUUAAAACUAAAAAGCAUGUCAAGUUAAGUUAAUAUGUUCGCGAAUUAGAUCAAUCUCACCAUAAAGGAAAUAAAUUAGACAUGUUGAAAAUUAGUCAACAAAAAGGCUGGAAAAUACAUUUAAAUGCUGGACGUUAAAAUUAAAUACUGGAAAUGAAAGUUAUAUAGAAUGAAGUUUUAAUGGUGAAAAUACUAUUUAAAUGCCGAAAGUUAAAAUUUAGUUGCUGAAAAUUUCAUUUAAAGGCUAAAAAAUAAUUUUAAUUGCUGAAAAAAUAAUUUUAUAUUGCUUGAAUUCAUUUCUUAAAUGCUGGAGAUUCAUUUUAACAUGGUAGAAAAAGUAAUUUAAUAUACUGAAACUCAUUAUUUAGUUGCUAGAAAAUAAACUAAAUACUGUGGAAAAUGAAUUAAAGUGCAGGAAUUUUAAUUUUACCGCUGACAAAUAAAUUAAAUAUGUUGAAAGUUGAUUUAAAUGCUAGGUAAUAAAUUAAAGUGCUAAAACUUGAUUUAAAUGCUGACAAAUGGGUCAAAUAUGCUGAAAACUAAUUUAGUCUCUAGAAAAUAAAUUAAAGUUCUGAAAAUAAAUCAAAUGUGCUAAAAAAAUUAGUUAAACACGUUAUAAGUUAAAGUUGAUAUGCUCGAAGUCGAUUUUAAUUUGUAAAGUUAAUUAUUAACCUAAAACAUGCUUUCUAGGCGACAAACAUAUCAUUUAAUAAUUCCUAAAUUACAUUUGCCUAAGUGAUUCACAUAAUCACGUAAAGCCCGUAAACCCCGCCCCCUACCAGUCCCAUAAUUUUUAUUAUCAAUACGUCAUUUGUACAAUAAAUUAUUUCAGACCCAUAGAAAAAAAGCGCAAAAGAGAUUAAAAAAAACAUAAGAAACUAGACAACAUUUCCAAUUUCUCGGUGAGUCUUCAUCCACGCCGAAGGCUAGAUAGUAUCUGUAGGACAAAGGCAGCUUAUCCCAAAUGCACAACAAACAAACAUAUGGAGAAACAAUGAAUUCACCAACAUGUCACAUAAACAACUUUAUAGAGUUUAGAAGGCAAACAGGACAGACACUCAAAAUUAUCAUGUAAUAAGCAAAUGCGUCGUCUAAGGAAACUAACCAGUUUGUAGCAAUAAGCAGUUAAAUAAAAGUCUGAAAAUCAGCACUUUGACCUACACACAGCAGUUGUAGUGAAUAAGACACCGAUCCAAAAUUCCUUUUAAUAAUACUUACCUGAGACAAAAGAACUGAAGAGUAUUUUUAUUUCUUUUGUAUAGAGCAAAGAUAGUUAAAAACUUGGUCUUGUAAUAGCCGAUGAAAAAGUAGAUGAAAAGGGAAGAUGAGGGGGUUCACAUAGCUAAACAACAAUAACAACACAACCAGUAUAUUUCCACAAAGUACGGUGAUUUAUAUAGCUAAGGGUCAGGAAAAUAAAAGGAAGGAGAUUAUUUUAUAGAUCAAUUAAGAAAAAAUAAACAUCUCCGAUUUACCUUAAAAGACAAGUCAGAAUAUAUAUUCAAAUUCAAGAGUAGGGUAAAAAUAUUAAUCAAGCUGUAAAAAUAGGGAUACAGAUGGAUAUUUUCCAUAUACAAUUAAAAACACAGUCACAUCAAACUGGUACAAAACAGGUCCAAUUUACCAUAAUUCAGAGUAACCAUCUACUCAGAAUAAAAUCCAGAUGCUUAGCAGGCAAAAAUCACAAUAUACCAAAAGAAUUAAUAUACUAUUGUAAUUAUGCGAGUAAUUCAAUCAACCGAGUCAAAUUUUUAGAAUCAAAGUUGUGAGGUUACCACGACAGUAGACAAUGGAAUUGCAUGCCUAGGAAAAUCGAUCCCUAAUAUUAAAUAAAAUCUAGGGUUGACGAAAAUUCACAAAAAUUAGGCAUUCUUGCAUAUGUUGAUCUAAACACAUAAACACAUACGAAAUUGAAAGAAUCAAUUCAAAAUUCACAGUCAUAUUUCAUUAAUUUUUAAAUCCAAAGAAAAAAAUCAGUCAGGGGAAAAAUGGGUAGAAAGAGGAAAUUCACAUAUAGCAACAAGCCUGAGACGGAUUCCGAGAUUCAUCAUGGACUUUACUCUUUUUCGACGUCAGUUGGCCGUAGUUUGGAAUAGCAUCGUGGGUAUGGUGUUGUUUUCCAGCGGAGAAUGAUAGACACUUUCCGAAACCCUGUUAGAAAGGUGGCGGCGAUAGGCGGUUCACUGGCUACCGAUGAACGGAGCGACGACUUUUAUUGGAGUUUUGUCAAUUGAGUGGCAACCAUUGGUUGAAGGCAGCGACUGGGAACAUAGAAGUGGGGGCGAGUGUGGUCGCCUUCAACAGCUAGAGCGAAGCAAGGAAGACAGAAGGCUCCGGAGUGGCUCGCUGACCUAAGUCUCAGCUGGAGAAGGAUAUGGUGCUAUCGGAUUCUAGAGAGAAAGAGAGAAAGAGAGGAGAGAAGGGGUUGGCGAUGGGUGGACUGUUGUUGUGGUGGUGGCGCCGGAGGUAAAGAGAAAGGGGGAGAGAGAAAAGGAGAAAAAAUAAAGAGGGCGGUGACAACAAUCAUGGCUGUUGCUGUUAAGGCCAUGGUGUUGAUAGAGGGGGAAGAGAGAGAGGAGAGGGAGGUGCAGUUGUGAGGGAUGAAAUGGUUAGGCUUUGGGGUAAUUGGGUAUAAA
Molecule: long non-coding RNA, 3327 nt
Filed under: Capsicum annuum
Lineage: Eukaryota; Viridiplantae; Streptophyta; Magnoliopsida; Solanales; Solanaceae
Description: long non-coding RNA (CANN_LNC018420)
Source: RNAcentral